Molecule: ribosomal RNA, 576 nt
Filed under: uncultured bacterium
Lineage: Bacteria
Description: bacterial SSU rRNA
Rfam family: Bacterial small subunit ribosomal RNA
Source: RNAcentral
ACGGGUGAGUAAUACAUCGGAACGUGCCCUGUAGUGGGGGAUAACUAGUCGAAAGAUUAGCUAAUACCGCAUACGACCUGAGGGUGAAAGUGGGGGACCGCAAGGCCUCAUGCUAUAGGAGCGGCCGAUGUCUGAUUAGCUAGUUGGUGAGGUAAAGGCUCACCAAGGCGACGAUCAGUAGCUGGUCUGAGAGGACGAUCAGCCACACUGGGACUGAGACACGGCCCAGACUCCUACGGGAGGCAGCAGUGGGGAAUUUUGGACAAUGGGGGCAACCCUGAUCCAGCAAUGCCGCGUGUGUGAAGAAGGCCUUCGGGUUGUAAAGCACUUUUGUCCGGAAAGAAAUCGCACUUACUAAUAUUAGGUGUGGAUGACGGUACCAGAAGAAUAAGGACCGGCUAACUACGUGCCAGCAGCCGCGGUAAUACGUAGGGUCCAAGCGUUAAUCGGAAUUACUGGGCGUAAAGCGUGCGCAGGCGGUUGUGCAAGACCGAUGUGAAAUCCCCGGGCUUAACCUGGGAAUUGCAUUGGUGACUGCACGGCUAGAGUGUGUCAGAGGGGGGUAGAAUUCCACGU